GGGCGCUUUAGCGCAGUGGUAGCGCGUAUGCUUUGCAUAGUGAUUUCCUUGAAAAGGUUAAUUGCUUACAGAAUCUUGUAUGAGGUCCAGGGUUCAAUCCCCUGAACGUCCA
This is a non-coding RNA of Armillaria mellea, 112 nucleotides long. NCBI's taxonomy places the organism in Eukaryota, Fungi, Basidiomycota, Agaricomycetes, Agaricales, Physalacriaceae. The record is from the annotation of a GenBank genome assembly.